GGCUCGGUAACUUAGUUGGUAAAGCACUUGUCUAGCGAAUAAGGGUCGUGAGUUCAAAUCUCACCUGAGCUG
Aedes albopictus (Asian tiger mosquito) is the source of this 72-nucleotide non-coding RNA. NCBI's taxonomy places the organism in Eukaryota, Metazoa, Arthropoda, Insecta, Diptera, Culicidae. The record is from Rfam.